AACAAACGCUGGCGGCGUGGCCUAACACAUGGCAAGUCGUACGAGAAAGUCGGCUUCGGCCGAUGAGUACAGUGGCGCACGGGUGAGUAGCGCGUGGGUAAUCUGCCCCCCGGUCAGGAAUAACCCGCCGAAAGGCGGGCUAAUACCCGAUAACACUGACGCUCCGCGGAGCGUCUUCAAAGAAGGCCUCUGUUACAAGCUUUCGCCGGAGGAUGAGCCCGCGUACCAUUAGCUAGUUGGCAGGGUAAUGGCCUACCAAGGCUACGAUGGUUAGCUGGUCUGAGAGGAUGGCCAGCCACACUGGAACUGAGACACGGUCCAGACUCCUACGGGAGGCAGCAGUGAGGAAUCUUGCGCAAUGGGGGAAACCCUGACGCAGCAACGCCGCGUGAGUGAGGAAGGCCUUCGGGUCGUAAAGCUCUGUCAGAUGGGAAGAAAUGGAUGGGGGCUAAUAUCGCCCAUCCUUGACGGUACCAUCAGAGGAAGCACCGGCUAACUCCGUG
This 503-nucleotide ribosomal RNA is filed under the name uncultured bacterium. RNAcentral describes it as "bacterial SSU rRNA". It matches the Rfam family "Bacterial small subunit ribosomal RNA", at positions 29 to 507 of the family's 1533-position model. The record is from RNAcentral.